AUACGGAGGGUGCAAGCGUUAUUCGGAAUCACUGGGCGUAAAGGACACGUAGGCGGGAAGCCAAGUCUGAUGUGAAAUCCUACAGCUUAACUGUAGAACUGCAUUGGAAACUGGUUACCUAGAGUAUGAGAGGGGGAGAUGGAAUUAGUGGUGUAGGGGUAAAAUCCGUAGAUAUCACUAGGAAUACCUAAAGCGAAGGCGAUCUCCUGGAACAUUACUGACGCUAAGGUGUGAAAGCGUGGGGAGCAAACGGUAUUAGAAACCCUAGUAGUCC
This 274-nucleotide ribosomal RNA is filed under the name uncultured bacterium. RNAcentral describes it as "partial 16S ribosomal RNA". It matches the Rfam family "Bacterial small subunit ribosomal RNA", at positions 523 to 796 of the family's 1533-position model. The record is from RNAcentral.